This 486-nucleotide ribosomal RNA is filed under the name uncultured bacterium. Its description in RNAcentral is "bacterial SSU rRNA". It matches the Rfam family "Bacterial small subunit ribosomal RNA", at positions 8 to 507 of the family's 1533-position model. The record is from RNAcentral.
AGAGUUUGAUCAUGGCUCAGGACGAACGCUGGCGGCGUGCUUAACACAUGCAAGUCGAACGGUGACCCAGGGCUUGCCCUGGUGAUCAGUGGCGAACGGGUGAGUAACACGUGGGCAACCUGCCCCUGACUUCGGGAUAACUCCUCGAAAGAGGAGCUAAUACCGGAUACGACCACUUCGGACAUCCGAUGGUGGUGGAAAGUUUUUCGGUCAGGGAUGGGCCCGCGGCCUAUCAGCUAGUUGGUGGGGUAAUGGCCUACCAAGGCGACGACGGGUAGCCGGCCUGAGAGGGCGACCGGCCAUACUGGGACUGAGACACGGCCCAGACUCCUACGGGAGGCAGCAGUGGGGAAUAUUGCGCAAUGGGCGAAAGCCUGACGCAGCGACGCCGCGUGAGGGAUGAAGGCCUUCGGGUUGUAAACCUCUUUCAGCAGGGACGAAGCGAAAGUGACGGUACCUGCAGAAGAAGCACCGGCUAACUACGUG